GGGAGUGUGGCUCAGGGGUAGAGCGCUUGCCUCGCAUGCAUGAGGCCCUGGGUUCGAUUCCUCAGCACCACCU
Molecule: transfer RNA, 73 nt
Filed under: Dipodomys ordii (Ord's kangaroo rat)
Lineage: Eukaryota; Metazoa; Chordata; Mammalia; Rodentia; Heteromyidae
Rfam family: tRNA
About the family: Transfer RNA (tRNA) molecules are approximately 80 nucleotides in length. Their secondary structure includes four short double-helical elements and three loops (D, anti-codon, and T loops).
Source: Rfam by way of RNAcentral